GCGUCGAUGUGUUUGUUUGAUCGUGUGUUAUUAGGUUUGCUGUAAUGAAAUGAGACGUAGUUCGCGAGCACGAAAGUGCCAGAAGAUGGCUUGAGUCUCGCUGUAAGCACGCCGUAUGCGUGGCGCGCCAGCUAAAUGUGGACUAGAGUGUACCUAAUGUGGACCAACGAUUUUCAUGCCAUGGAGUGCGUUCCCUUUGUCUCCGCUUGUGUUCGUGGAAAGUUUGGUGGACGGCGCAAAGAAGUAAUGCGUAUUAUUAGCGCGCCUCAGCUCGUCCACUACCCAGCGGCUUGUAUGCUGCAAGUAACAUCGCAGACGCAUCACUGGAAACUUGGAGAGUGCCUUUCGACCUCGUCGUACUGUUGAAACGUGGCGAGGCCGUGACCCACAACAUAAACUACAAGAUCGAGGAGCCCCAAGAAAUGCAGACCCUGUGGAUAUAUGGCUGCAGCAGCAUGGCGUGUGAUCUGGAUGGUCAUGACAGGUGUGUAUGAAAUGCUCCACCGUCGCCGUUACUAG
Dermacentor albipictus is the source of this 519-nucleotide long non-coding RNA. RefSeq lists it as uncharacterized. The record is from RefSeq and is a predicted model, not a curated record. Lineage: Eukaryota; Metazoa; Arthropoda; Arachnida; Ixodida; Ixodidae.